RNAcentral lists this ribosomal RNA (495 nucleotides) under uncultured bacterium. Its description in RNAcentral is "partial 16S ribosomal RNA". It matches the Rfam family "Bacterial small subunit ribosomal RNA", at positions 28 to 507 of the family's 1533-position model. The record is from RNAcentral.
GAUGAACGCUGGCGGCGUGCCUAAUACAUGCAAGUCGAGCGAACAGACGAGGAGCUUGCUCCUCUGACGUUAGCGGCGGACGGGUGAGUAACACGUGGAUAACCUACCUAUAAGACUGGGAUAACUUCGGGAAACCGGAGCUAAUACCGGAUAAUAUAUUGAACCGCAUGGUUCAAUAGUGAAAGACGGUUUUGCUGUCACUUAUAGAUGGAUCCGCGCCGCAUUAGCUAGUUGGUAAGGUAACGGCUUACCAAGGCAACGAUGCGUAGCCGACCUGAGAGGGUGAUCGGCCACACUGGAACUGAGACACGGUCCAGACUCCUACGGGAGGCAGCAGUAGGGAAUCUUCCGCAAUGGGCGAAAGCCUGACGGAGCAACGCCGCGUGAGUGAUGAAGGUCUUCGGAUCGUAAAACUCUGUUAUUAGGGAAGAACAAAUGUGUAAGUAACUAUGCACGUCUUGACGGUACCUAAUCAAAGCCACGGCUAACUACGUG